AGGAGUGUAGCUUAGUGGUAAGGCACAUGUCUGCUGUGCUGAGGACCUAGUGGUAAGGCACAUGUCUGCUGUGCUGAGGACCGGGGUUCAAUCCCCGCUUUUCCU
This 105-nucleotide transfer RNA is filed under the name Neotoma lepida (desert woodrat). It matches the Rfam family "tRNA". Rfam says of the family: Transfer RNA (tRNA) molecules are approximately 80 nucleotides in length. Their secondary structure includes four short double-helical elements and three loops (D, anti-codon, and T loops). Lineage: Eukaryota; Metazoa; Chordata; Mammalia; Rodentia; Cricetidae. The record is from Rfam by way of RNAcentral.